RNAcentral lists this ribosomal RNA (460 nucleotides) under uncultured bacterium. Its description in RNAcentral is "partial 16S ribosomal RNA". It matches the Rfam family "Bacterial small subunit ribosomal RNA", at positions 338 to 795 of the family's 1533-position model. The record is from RNAcentral.
CCUACGGGAGGCAGCAGUGAGGAAUAUUGGUCAAUGGGCUUACGCCUGAACCAGCCAAGUCGCGUGAGGGAAGACUGCCCUAUGGGUUGUAAACCUCUUUUGUCAGGGAGCAACGCCGGCUACGUGUAGCCGGACUGAGAGUACCUGAAGAAAAAGCAUCGGCUAACUCCGUGCAAGCAGCCGCGGUAAUACGGAGGAUGCGAGCGUUAUCCGGAUUUAUUGGGUUUAAAGGGUGCGUAGGCGGAAUGCCAAGUCAGCGGUAAAAUCGCGGGGCUCAACCUCGCUCUGCCGUUGAAACUGGCGUUCUUGAGUGGGCGAGAGGUAGGCGGAAUGCGUGGUGUAGUGGUGAAAUGCGUAGAUAUCACGCAGAACUCCGAUUGCGAAGGCAGCAUACCGGCGCACAACUGACGCUGAAGCACGAAAGCGUGGGUAUCGAACAGGAUUAGAUACCCGUGUAGUC